This 475-nucleotide ribosomal RNA is filed under the name uncultured bacterium. RNAcentral describes it as "bacterial SSU rRNA". It matches the Rfam family "Bacterial small subunit ribosomal RNA", at positions 30 to 498 of the family's 1533-position model. The record is from RNAcentral.
AUUGAACGCUGGCGGCAGGCCUAACACAUGCAAGUCGAGCGGUAGAGAGGUGCUUGCAUCUCUUGAGAGCGGCGGACGGGUGAGUAAUGCCUAGGAAUCUGCCUAGUGGUGGGGGAUAACGUUCGGAAACGGACGCUAAUACCGCAUACGUCCUACGGGAGAAAGCGGGGGAUCUUCGGACCUCGCGCCAUUAGAUGAGCCUAGGUCGGAUUAGCUAGUUGGUGAGGUAAUGGCUCACCAAGGCGACGAUCCGUAACUGGUCUGAGAGGAUGAUCAGUCACACUGGAACUGAGACACGGUCCAGACUCCUACGGGAGGCAGCAGUGGGGAAUAUUGGACAAUGGGCGAAAGCCUGAUCCAGCCAUGCCGCGUGUGUGAAGAAGGUCUUCGGAUUGUAAAGCACUUUAAGUUGGGAGGAAGGGCAGUUACCUAAUACGUGAUUGUUUUGACGUUACCGACAGAAUAAGCACCGGCU